CUUGAAGAAGGUUCAUGCAAAGACACCAAGUAGCACGGUAUUGUGUGUUUCUAUAGCCCACUGCCUGGGCUCAAGCGUCAGCUUCCAAAUGAGACCCAAUCUGGCUGUGUAACUUACUGGCAGCAUUGCCUUUGGGCCAAUGGUCUUGGACAAUGAGCUUGGGCAGUGUUCCAAAGUUGAACUCUUCUGUGACAAUGCUGCUGCCACCUCAGGUAAGUUAAGUGGAAGAAGGAGGAAAGCAAUUCCAUCUUCAGUGACCUGAGUAAAGCCGUCUUCCUUAGCCACAUGUGGAGAAUUGUUCUCAUUAUGACGAUUUGAAUGUCAUAAAUCUUUGUGCUUCGACAGUGACAUAGAGUAAAGCCUCAUUAAUUAAGGCCUCACUGAUUCAGAAUUUAAGAUAAUGUCUUCAUAGGCCAAGCUGAAAUUUACAUUUGCACUAUCUAUGAAAAAAGAGUUCAUUAAGUAAAUCAAUAAAGUAAGGAAGAUUGCAGGAAGUCUGUUUAAUCUAAUUAAGAAAACAAACUAUUUUCAAGCACUUUGUAAUACCAUCGACAUAUAAACAAUGUGCUCAUUACAAAUGACUAUUAUGGGAUCAUUAAAGCAUUUUAAGGAAAAUUCCUGUUUGAC
This 627-nucleotide long non-coding RNA is filed under the name Papio anubis (olive baboon). RNAcentral describes it as "lncRNA (ENSPANG00000042227.1)". Lineage: Eukaryota; Metazoa; Chordata; Mammalia; Primates; Cercopithecidae. The record is from RNAcentral.